UACGAAGGGGGCUAGCGUUGUUCGGAAUCACUGGGCGUAAAGCGCACGUAGGCGGAUCGUUAAGUCGGGGGUGAAAUCCCAGGGCUCAACCCUGGAACUGCCUUCGAUACUGGCGAUCUUCGAGUCCGGGAGAGGUGAGUGGAACUCCGAGUGUAGAGGUGAAAUUCGUAGAUAUUCGGAAGAACACCAGUGGCGAAGGCGGCUCACUGGCCCGGUGCUGACGCUGAGGUGCGAAAGCGUGGGGAGCAAACAGG
Molecule: ribosomal RNA, 254 nt
Filed under: uncultured bacterium
Lineage: Bacteria
Description: partial 16S ribosomal RNA
Rfam family: Bacterial small subunit ribosomal RNA
Source: RNAcentral